RNAcentral lists this long non-coding RNA (226 nucleotides) under Solanum tuberosum (potato). RNAcentral describes it as "long non-coding RNA (STUB_LNC008246)". The record is from RNAcentral. Lineage: Eukaryota; Viridiplantae; Streptophyta; Magnoliopsida; Solanales; Solanaceae.
UUAUAUUUAAAGAUUUGGGAUUCUAGAUACUUACCAGUUGCAGCAUUAAAGAGUUUAACAUUGAUACCUUCCUCCUCUUUCUACUUUGUGUUUUGAAUUUUUGUAUUUUCUGUUUGUUGGCUCGAAACGCGGCUGGUCUUUUUCCUGCAAUUGAAAUUGCGACUUGCCAAGGUGAUAAUCCUUGGUUGUUGGAAUCGUCUCCAUGACUCUUGUUUCGGAGGUUGAA